UAGGGAAUAUUGGACAAUGGGCGCAAGCCUGAUCCAGCAAUGCCGCGUGAGUGAUGAAGGCCUUAGGGUUGUAAAGCUCUUUUACCAGAGAUGAUAAUGACAGUAUCUGGGGAAUAAGCCCCGGCUAACUCCGUGCCAGCAGCCGCGGUAAUACGGAGGGGGCUAGCGUUGUUCGGAAUUACUGGGCGUAAAGCGCACGUAGGCGGCGAUUUAAGUCAGAGGUGAAAGCCCGGGGCUCAACCCCGGAACUGCCUUUGAGACUGGAUUGCUUGAAUCCGGGAGAGGUGAGUGGAAUUCCGAGUGUAGAGGUGAAAUUCGUAGAUAUUCGGAAGAACACCAGUGGCGAAGGCGGCUCACUGGACCGGCAUUGACGCUGAGGUGCGAAAGCGUGGGGAGCAAACAGG
Molecule: ribosomal RNA, 404 nt
Filed under: uncultured bacterium
Lineage: Bacteria
Description: bacterial SSU rRNA
Rfam family: Bacterial small subunit ribosomal RNA
Source: RNAcentral